AUACGGAGGAUCCGAGCGUUAUCCGGAUUUAUUGGGUUUAAAGGGAGCGUAGGCGGACGCUUAAGUCAGUUGUGAAAGUUUGCGGCUCAACCGUAAAAUUGCAGUUGAUACUGGGUGUCUUGAGUACAGUAGAGGCAGGCGGAAUUCGUGGUGUAGCGGUGAAAUGCUUAGAUAUCACGAAGAACUCCGAUUGCGAAGGCAGCCUGCUGGACUGUAACUGACGCUGAUGCUCGAAAGUGUGGGUAUCAAACAGGAUUAGAUACCCUGGUAGUCCACACAGUAAACGAUGAAUACUCGCUGUUUGCGAUAUACAGUAAGCGGCCAAGCGAAAGCGUUAAGUAUUCCACCUGGGGAGUACGCCGGCAACGGUGAGACUCAAAGGAAUUGACGGGG
This 393-nucleotide ribosomal RNA is filed under the name uncultured bacterium. RNAcentral's name for it is "partial 16S ribosomal RNA". It matches the Rfam family "Bacterial small subunit ribosomal RNA", at positions 523 to 918 of the family's 1533-position model. The record is from RNAcentral.